This 840-nucleotide long non-coding RNA is filed under the name Homo sapiens (human). Its description in RNAcentral is "HSALNT0339578". Lineage: Eukaryota; Metazoa; Chordata; Mammalia; Primates; Hominidae. The record is from RNAcentral.
UCGUGAUCUGCCCACCUCGGCCUCCCGAAGUGCUGGGAUUACAAGCGUGAGCCACUGCGCCUGGCAAAGACCUCUUCUUCAUGGACCUUUGAUCCAAGGAAAAAGGCCAUAAACAGAACAGGGGACUUUCUACAUCAUCCACAUCUGGGAUUUCACCAGUCAAAGCCAUUCUAUGAGCUGGGGUGUUGUGCUGGAUGAAUACUUGCUCAAUAAUGAUGCUUCAAACCUCCAGGUCCAAGCUCCAAGCAUUGUCAGCACAGCCAUGUGGAGCAACUUCGAUGCACAGAACCUCUUCAAGUCCAACCAAAUAGACACCACCCACUUGGGCAACAAGCCAUCUCAGAGGGCAACCACCUCAUGGGGCUCUCGACACUCUUCCCCUAGCAACCAUACUUCAACUUUGACUUCACGGUUUGUUUAGUGCUGCCUUCUCAUUCGGGCCUUCCUUUCCAGAAGAAAUGUAGAAAUAUGAAUUACACUUCUGUCAUUAGAGAUUCCAGAGGCUUCAAUUAGGCAAGCUGAAAUAAAAUCUGUCUAAAAGACACGUAGUAAUAGGCCUUUGAAACAAGCUUCGAGGUGGUCCCAGACAUUCAGUUCCAAUUUCACAUUGCAUAGCCAGAAACAAACUUGUACCUCAAUGGGAAAGAACUUUUCAGACAGUCCAUUAUUUUUUUAUGUUACCUUCUUUUGUCAUCAAAAAAUGAUCUGGAUCUCUUCUCUCCUCCUCACUUAAGUAACUUUUCUUCAUGUCCUGGGUCAUGCCCCAGGAAUUUUUAUCUACAAAGUGCUCAGCCUGGUGCACAAUGCACAUUCGCUGCUUAAUAAAUAUUUGUUGCCUGA